UUUACCUAUAAGCCGAAUGCAACCAAAAUGGAAGACCGUUCCUGUGCUCUCACCAGCCAAUCACAAACCAAUUUCCUAUCCAAUCACAAGUCACCCGAACUUAAAAGAUUGUGGCCUCAAUCACGUUUCUUUUAGUUAGUUGAGUGGGAGGGUUGUCGUCGUUGAACAGUGGAAAGCUGACUUUCAGCUUUGCUGUAUAUGAAUGGCUCCGAGUUAGAUUGAGCACAAAGACGAGCACCAUGUGGAGGUUCGAGCUAGGGAGAGAGAACGAGAGAAACAACUCCUCGCUCGGACGCCUCCUUUGUCAAGUCCCGGCCUGUGCUGCCCCAUUCUCCGGACUCAACCCGAACAUCUGCCCCCGACAAAAAAAAAAAAAUCCCCAUUGCGUCUUGCAGCCAUAGCAAGUUGCGUAGACGAGUUGCAGAUCAAUGCUUGUCCCCUCUUUUUAAUUGUGUAACGGUCCUACUUAUGGACGCCCCCUUGCAAGACGGGGGCAAGCGUUUAGGGCUCCUGCACGUCUGAUUUAGUUCCAAGCAAAGCGGGCCUAAAUGGCUCUAAUUGCCAACGCCUUGAUGAAAAGUCGAUGGGAGUUAAAGCGGACCGAUCACUAAGCGGAGCUGCGAUCCAUCUGUACUCACUUUAUUUAUUUAUUUCCUCCAUUUGUCUCCACAAAUCACCUGCCAGCCGGGACCGGGACGCAUAUUUGUUUUUGUUUGUGCUCAUUUACAUUCACUUGAGUUUCGAAUUCAUAUCAUGGAUUGCUAUUUGUUAUUAACGUUGCACGACGUAUAGAUGGACGCAUAUUCGCCAUAUUUUGUUUGCAAAUUAAUUCAACUCUUUGUUGGUUUUUUUGUCAAGACAUUUCACGCGUGCAUUCGUUUAGCAAGCAGGUGUCCCGCAGCCCACGAGCAGAUUAAACAAAUACAUUAAGACGUUUUAACGUUGAAUAAUUUGAGCAUGAAAAAGCUAAUAAAUCAGAGGAUGGUAUGGCA
Syngnathus acus (greater pipefish) is the source of this 992-nucleotide long non-coding RNA. RefSeq lists it as uncharacterized. NCBI's taxonomy places the organism in Eukaryota, Metazoa, Chordata, Actinopteri, Syngnathiformes, Syngnathidae. The record is from RefSeq and is a predicted model, not a curated record. The transcript has 3 exons.